GUGGGGAAUAUUGGACAAUGGGGGGAACCCUGAUCCAGCCAUGCCGCGUGUGUGAAGAAGGCCUUUUGGUUGUAAAGCACUUUAAGCGAGGAGGAGGCUACCGAGAUUAAUACUCUUGGAUAGUGGACGUUACUCGCAGAAUAAGCACCGGCUAACUCUGUGCCAGCAGCCGCGGUAAUACAGAGGGUGCAAGCGUUAAUCGGAUUUACUGGGCGUAAAGCGCGCGUAGGUGGCCAAUUAAGUCAAAUGUGAAAUCCCCGAGCUUAACUUGGAAAUUGCAUUCGAUACUGGUUGGCUAGAGUAUGGGAGAGGAUGGUAGAAUUCCAGGUGUAGCGGUGAAAUGCGUAGAGAUCUGGAGGAAUACCGAUGGCGAAGGCAGCCAUCUGGCCUAAUACUGACACUGAGGUGCGAAAGCAUGGGGAGCAAACAGGAUUAGAAACCCUAGUAGUCC
Molecule: ribosomal RNA, 451 nt
Filed under: uncultured bacterium
Lineage: Bacteria
Description: partial 16S ribosomal RNA
Rfam family: Bacterial small subunit ribosomal RNA
Source: RNAcentral